UACAGAGGUCCCAAGCGUUGUUCGGAUUCACUGGGCGUAAAGGGUGCGUAGGCGGUCGGGUAAGUCUGGCGUGAAAUCUCCAAGCCUAACUUGGAAACUGCGUUGGAUACUAUCCGGCUCGAGGAAUGGAGGGGAGACUGGAAUACUUGGUGUAGCAGUGAAAUGCGUAGAUAUUACGAAGAACACCAAUGGCGAAGGCAGCUUGCUGGGCCGACCCUGACGCUGAGGUACGAAAGCGUGGGGAGCGAACAGG
This 253-nucleotide ribosomal RNA is filed under the name uncultured bacterium. RNAcentral's name for it is "partial 16S ribosomal RNA". It matches the Rfam family "Bacterial small subunit ribosomal RNA", at positions 524 to 776 of the family's 1533-position model. The record is from RNAcentral.